Molecule: long non-coding RNA, 2297 nt
Filed under: Ananas comosus (pineapple)
Lineage: Eukaryota; Viridiplantae; Streptophyta; Magnoliopsida; Poales; Bromeliaceae
Description: long non-coding RNA (ACOM_LNC039681)
Source: RNAcentral
UAUUAAGCCUUAAGAGUGUUCUAUUCUACUAUGACAAAGGAGUGUUGACAAUCAUAAAGCUAGCUAUUAAGAGUGUUCUAUUUAACCUUUACAACUGUUCUAUUAUGGCAUAAAACUGUUAUAAAGCCUAAAACUGACAGCACACUUCCAUUAAGCUUUAAGAAUGUUUUAUUAAGUCAUAAGAGGUUAAGAUUGGAAUGCAUACAUGUUCGCAACUGCAAAUCUGAUAAAAGUAUUCUAUUAUGCUCUAAGAGUGUUCUAUUCUACUAUGACAAAAGCGGGUAAGAUUGAAGUCUUAAAACCAUGAUAUAGCAACAUAAUUGGAAGUUCAGAAGAUCUCCCAGAUUUCUCAAUUAAUCAGUAAUGUUGAUCUCCAAAGUAUAGAUUUUUGAACUCCCAUACAUCUCAAUUAAUCAGUCAAUUGAUCUCCGAAGUAUAGAAACAUGAAAAACUCAAAAAUGCACGUGUACGUGAAUUCAAUUCAAAGAGAAACAAUCCACAAUGCUCAUAUUCUUUCUUCUUCUUCUUUUUUUCUUUGCUAAGUUUUGUACAUCCCAAACUGUCAUUCCAAAUGUAUACCACAUAAAUUGGAAACUACCGAUAAAUAUAAAAAAUUUAAGAACGAUAUCUACAAAUCAAGGUUUCAGUAUUCUAUUAUGCUCUAAGAGUGUUCUAUUCUACCCAUACACCCCAUAUUGAGUUGUUCUAUUAUGCUUUACAUUUAUUCUAUUAUGCCAUAAAUCUGUUAUAAAGUCUACAACUGAUAGCAGUGUUAUGUGAAACUUUAAGAAUGUUCUGUUAAGUCAUAAGUGGGUAAGAUUACAAAUGCAUACAUGUUCGCAACUAUAAACCUGAUAAAAAUAUUCUAUUAAGUCCUAGAAGUGUUCUAUUAUGACAAAAGCGUGUUCACAACCAUAAAGCUAAUAAUAGUGUUCUAUUAAGCUGUAAGAGUGUUCUUUAUUGCCAUAAGAGUGUUAGAUUGUCAAGCAUUUAUAUUUGCAAACACAAAUCCUAUAAAAGUAUUCUACUAAGAGUGUUCUUAUAAGUUCUAAGACUAAACCCUUUAUGGCAUAAAAGUGACAGAUUGUAAUGCAUACAUAAUUCUAGCCAACAAUACAUAUAUGAAUACAAACAAAUUAAUUUUCAAUACAAGUAUACACUAAUAUCAUAAAUGCUUUAUUUUUACAAAUGCAACAAAUAAUGUAAUAUACCAGCUGAGUAAUCCCUAAAUAAAAUGAAUCAGCUAGUCGGUGAGCAAAUCCGCAGCACGCAAAGAAGAACCCUACCUGCAACCCUAAACCCUCAAAAUAUAAAUUCUAUAUUAAAUUUAAAAUUAGAAAUAAAAGAUUAUAGAAAUUCAAAAAUAUCCCCUGUUUGAGUAGAAUCCUCUGUUCGGUUGUGGCCGAAUUAGCUCCGGAAUCGUUCCCAAUUUCGGAUGCUCACGACUGAAGGAAUGCGUCACAGGUACUGGGAUGGACAGGGGAGCAGUUGAGAGGCGACCUCCUACCAAUGGAGAAAGGCGAGGCCGAGAGACACCUUCGAGACGGCUUCGGACACGAGAUGUGUGGAACGAGCGCUGCCGAACUUCUGCCCGAUGGAGUGGAGUACCCUGCGAGCGAGAGCGAGAGAAAGAGAAAGGGGAGAGAGCGAGAUGACGAGAGGCGAGGGAGCGAGAGAAAGCGAGGAAGCGAGAGAGAGCGAGAAACAGAAAUAGCGAGAGGAGCUGUGCGGGAGAGAGAAGUGUAGUAGGGUUUAAUUUAAGUUAGCUUUAGCAAGAAGUAAAAAAGGUGUGAGGUUAGAAGCUACUGUGCUAGUGGGUUAAUAUCAGCCAUUGGAUCUGAUAGUUGUAGGAUAUACACCUUUUUAUAGGAGUACAGGUAAACUUUUCCUAUGCUUUAAUAGCAUCUACGAAUUUCUUGUAAACACCCUUCUCUUUAUCAAAAUGACUCUGCAUGCCCAAAAAUAAAUAAAUAUUAAAUAAAUAAAAAUAAAAAUAAANUGCAUACAUAAUUCUAGCCAACAAUACAUAUAUGAAUACAAACAAAUUAAUUUUCAAUACAAGUAUACACUAAUAUCAUAAAUGCUUUAUUUUUACAAAUGCAACAAAUAAUGUAAUAUACCAGCUGAGUAAUCCCUAAAUAAAAUGAAUCAGCUAGUCGGUGAGCAAAUCCGCAGCACGCAAAGAAGAACCCUACCUGCAACCCUAAACCCUCAAAAUAUAAAUUCUAUAUUAAAUUUAAAAUUAGAAAUAAAAGAUUAUAGAAAUUCAAAAAUAUCCCCUGUUUGAGUAGAAUCCU